This 3042-nucleotide long non-coding RNA is filed under the name Sus scrofa (pig). RNAcentral describes it as "lncRNA (ENSSSCG00065078168.1)". The record is from RNAcentral. Lineage: Eukaryota; Metazoa; Chordata; Mammalia; Artiodactyla; Suidae.
AUGCUAUGUGUCUUUCUCUUUCUUGUUUUUCAUGCAGUCUUCCAUCGUCUUCCUCUAUUCCGACCCCAGGUGUGGCUUCAUGUGCUGGAACAUCGCUCCUGUCUGGAAGUGCUCCUGCACGUUGGUGAGGACUCCCUUCCGGCCCUCGGCUGGCCUUCAUCACCUCACACCUGGAUGACCGCAACAGCUGGCCUGCCUUGGGCUAGCCUUUCUCUGCUCCAGCCUCUCCAGCUGCCAGGACCCAUCUUCUGCAAAUACCUUUGGCAUCACAUCACUUCCCUGCUCAGACCUAUUAGAUCCUAGCUCCAUUCAUCUGGCUGGGAGCCAGCCAAUUGGCCUCCCAUUCUUCCUCUUCCCUCCUUUCAAGUUCACUCCCAUCCAGCCAGCCUCAUAGGUUGCUUUAAAUCUUCUGUUAGCCCCUCUGCUAGUUUGGGUGGUCUCCUUUCCACCUCCUCCCGCCCUCCCUCCAGAAUACUUCUGGUGACUUUGGGGGAGUCAUGCAAACUGUCGAGCUUCUCCAGCCUCUUUCUCAAUGCAUUUGCCUCCCCUGCCCGCAUCGCGGCUCCACCAUUCACCUGCUAGAGGCCUUCAGGCAAGUUGCUUCACCUCUCGGUGCCUCAGUGUUCUCAUUUUUUUCAUCCAUAAAAUGGGGAUCUUAAUGGUACAUCCUCAUCAGUUCGUGGAGAAGAUUAAAAGAGGUGAUAGUGGAGUUCCCAUUGUGGCGCAGUGGAAACAUAUCUGACUAGUCUCCAUGAGGACGCAGGUUCGAUUCCCUGGCCUCGCUCAGUGGGCUAAGGAUCUGGCAUUGCUGUGAGCUGUGGUGUAGGUCACAGACGCGACUCGGAUCCCCCGUUACUGUGGCUGUGACGUAGGCCGGUGGCUACAGCUCCAAUUUGACCCCUCACCUGGGAACUUCCAUAUGCUGCAGGUGGGGCCCUGAAAAAAAAAAAAAAAAAAAAAAAGGAGAUAGCUGUAAAAGGACCUAGAACAAUAUUCGGCACAAAGUAACUGCCAUGGACACAUCAGCUAUUAUUACUUUUUUUUUUUUGUCUUUUGUCUUUUUAGGGCUGUACCCAUGGCAUAUGGAAGUUCCCAGGCUAGGGGUCUAAUCGGAGCUGUAGCCUACACUAGAGUCACAGCAACGCCAGAUCUGAGCCGCGUCUGUGACCUACACCAGAGCUCACCACCAUGCCGGAUCCUUAACCCACUGAGUGAGCCCAGGGAUCGGACCCGCAACCUCAUGGUUCCUAGUUGGAUUCAUUAACCACUGAGCCACAAUGGGUACUCCAGCUAUUAUUACUUAACCAUUGUUAUUAUGGCGCCUUCUAGCCAGCUCUUCCCUGGACACCACUUCCACUUGGAAGAGCUAACUGGUGGAGCUGUCUGUCAAAAAAAAAAAAAAAAUGAGUCCAGGAAAAACAAAUUUCAUAAAUAGAUUCUGCUAAAUCUAAGACUGUUGAAGUCUUCCAAUUGGUGAAUAUUAUUUUAUUCACCAAGAGUGCGGAGCUGGUUCAUUGUUAAGUAUCUGAGACAACUUGAGGAACUGGGCUGUCUACAAAGCACUACUUACAUCCAUUAAUUUCUAACCAACCAGGAGGAGGGCAUGUGAGAUUUAAAAUCAGGAUUUUUCCGGGAUGAAUAGGAUGGUGUGGGGACAACGUCAAAACACCCUAAGGGACCAAUGCGUUGUGCAUGUUAUUUCCCAUGGUCUUUCUAGAAUCCUUCUCACUAUGCCCUAAGUCCCAAUGGCCCUGCUUCCACAUCUGCUCACUCCCUGUGUUCCUCCUUGGAGCCUAAUUGGAAUUGCUUUUCUCUCUGGGAGUUCCCAGCCUGAGAGCCCUGCACCUUGCACCUCUACCAUCAUUGCUGUAAAUAAUCUACCAUCUUCAUCUUUGUUCUUCUUUUCAAAUCCACCUCUAUGGUUUUGUGGCGAAUACAACGCAUUCCUUUAAAAUCGCUGGUGAAUUCACAGUCACUGUUUAUCAUUGUAUGUUCUCUUGCUCUCGCUCAAUGAAUUCGGUCCUACCUCAGAGAUACCAGGUUCGGUGCCAGACCAUGGCCAUAAAGUGAACAUCUCAACAAAACAAGUCACGUGACUUUUUUUGGGGCUUCCCAGUGCCUACCAAAGUUAUGCUUACCUUAUACUGUAGCCUAUUAGGUGUGCAAUAGCAUUAUGCCUGAAAAAACAAUGUACAGACCUUAUUUAGAAAAUACUUGGAAUUCCUGUCGUGGCUCAGCAGAAACGAAUCUCCCUAGCAUCCACGAGGACGCAGGUUUGAUCCCUGGCCUCGCUCAGUGGGUUAAGGAUCUGGCAUUGCCAUGAGCUGUGGUGUAGGUUGCAGACAGGGCUUGGAUCCCUAGUUGCUGUGACUGUGGUGUAGGAUGGCAGCUUUAACUCUGACUUGACUCCUAGUCUGGGAACCUCCAUGUGCCGAGAGUAUGACCCUUAAAAAAGACCCGAAAAAGAAAAAGAAAAUACUCGGAGUUCCCAUCGUGGCUCAGUGGUUAACGAAUCCGACUAGGAACCAUGAGGUUGUGGGUUCUAUCCCUGGCUUUGCUCAGUGGGUUAAGGAUCCGGCGUUGCCAUGAGCUGUGGUGUGGGUCGCAGACGCGGCUUGGAUCCCGUGUUGCUGUGGCUCUGGCAUAGGCCGACGGCUACAGCUCUGGACCCCUAGCCUGGGAACCUCCAUAUGCUGCAGGAGCAGCCCAAGAAAUGGCAAAAAGACAAAAAAAAAAAAAAAAAAAAGAAGAAGAAGAAGAAAAUACUCGAUUGUGAAAAAAUUCUAGCCUUCAUCAAGUUAUAACAUCAAAGAUGACUGAUCACAGGUCACCGUAACAAAUAUAACAAAUGAAGAAAUUUAAAAUAUUGAAAGAAAAACCACCAUGUGACACGGAGACACGAAGUGAGCAAAUGCUGUUGGGAAAAUGACACUGAUAGGUUUGUUCGAUGCAGAGGUAGCCAGAAAACUUUAAUUUGAAAACAAAAAGCACGGAGUAUCCAUGAAGCGCAAUAAAGCGAGGUAUAUCUGUACUAAAAGUUCA